Molecule: long non-coding RNA, 330 nt
Organism: Haliotis rubra (blacklip abalone)
Lineage: Eukaryota; Metazoa; Mollusca; Gastropoda; Lepetellida; Haliotidae
Exons: 3
Source: RefSeq, a predicted model, not a curated record
UUCUGGUAGAUACAUGCUGUCAGACGAUGGUAGUGUUGUGCUGCUACAUGUCAGGACAUUCGUGAAGAAACACAAACAGAAGAUGGUAGUGCUAUGCUUCUGCAUGUCAGGACAUUCUGGUUGAAACAUGCAGACAGAAGAUGGUAUGAUGAUAUGCUGCUACAUGUCAGGACAUUCUCGUUGAAACAUGUAGACAGAAAAUGGUAAUGUUGUGCUGCUACAUGUAAGGACAUUUUGGUAGAAACAUACUGAGAGAAGAUGGUAGUGUUCUGCUGCUACAUAUCGGGACAUUCUGGUAGAAACAUACAGACAGAAAAAGGAAAUGUUGUG